RNAcentral lists this microRNA precursor (97 nucleotides) under Arabidopsis lyrata subsp. lyrata. RNAcentral's name for it is "MIR9560 microRNA precursor family". It matches the Rfam family "MIR9560 microRNA precursor family". Lineage: Eukaryota; Viridiplantae; Streptophyta; Magnoliopsida; Brassicales; Brassicaceae. The record is from Rfam by way of RNAcentral.
GUGUGUAUUGACAGGUGGUGGAACAAAUAUGAGUUUAUAAAUAUUAAUUAGACAAACUAAAACUCAUAUUUAGUUCUACCUCCUGUUGAAGCACACA